CUCUGAUGAGCCCAUUGUUGCCCCAAUAAACUACAAAAAUUAAUAUGGCAUGAUUACUAAUUAACCAAGAAGAUAAGAAUGAGAGCCACACAAUGAAACAUGGAGUUGUAUUGAAGAAGUGAAACAUACACUACUAGCAAACAAAUUAUAAAAGGCAACAGGAACCCUAUUUAUACAAGGAUAUCACAUGGAAAUUUUGCAAUACUGAACUUCAAUAUUGUUUCACUCCUCCAAACAAAGACAAGUAAAAAGAUCACUGAAUAGUUUUAAUCUUCUCUAUAAUAGACACCAAAAGUACCAAAACAAAGCAAAUGUCAAAUUUCACGGCAAUUUAUUCGUUUUAAAAUUAAAAUGUUAAUUUCCUUACAAAAGAAAAAAUAAAUUAAUU
RNAcentral lists this unclassified non-coding RNA (388 nucleotides) under Hevea brasiliensis (rubber tree). The record is from RNAcentral. Lineage: Eukaryota; Viridiplantae; Streptophyta; Magnoliopsida; Malpighiales; Euphorbiaceae.